Molecule: long non-coding RNA, 2152 nt
Organism: Heterocephalus glaber (naked mole-rat)
Lineage: Eukaryota; Metazoa; Chordata; Mammalia; Rodentia; Bathyergidae
Source: Ensembl
GCCAGACUGAAUUAUCAGGAAGACUAGAAAAUGCCACUGGUCAGUCUUGGCAUUGGUGUAAGACCGAGAGGAAAGCUCCUUGAUUGGAUCUUGGCUCUGUUGUGCACGCCUUGCCCAUGUGUUACUGGACCAGAGCAGGCUGAGCUUCACAUUCCUCAUCUGUGAAACAGAGCAUGAGCCUUUUUUGAGAAAACUAAAUGAGAUGGUGAUAUUACUGUAGCCAAGGAAAUGUCUGGCACACGAGCGCACAGACUUGACACUAUUUUAUGGCUGUCGUGGAUCCAAGAAGAAGACAUGAGCUUGGGAGCCCACUGCAUACACUGACCAUUCACUACCAUAGGCCAGACACACAUUCUCCCACCGAUGUGGGAUUUUGGUGGAGAGGAGCUUAGGCAAUGUGUUUUCAGCCUUCCCGAGAGACACUGCUCCCAAUACCUUGCUCUUGUUACUGAAGGCCAGAGCCUGGACCUUGCAGUUGUCAGCGUUUGUGUCCUCCUUGAGGAUGUGCUUUACAGCAUUGUGAGUGAUGUGAGCAUACACAGGGACCCGUGACACAUUGUGCCUCACAUCACUUUUGGUCAACACAUCAUCUGUCACCUCCUACAGUCCCGUAGAACCAUCACACAGCCAGACACUGCAUGUGAUGGAAAAGAUCCACUCCUUUGGGUCCAUCACCUCCCCCCGCCCCCAGGAUCCAGAGCAGGCAGUUGAUAGAUGGCAAGACUGCUGGGGUUGUCUCCUCCUGUGGCUAACAGUGUUCUAGAGGGAUUCAGCUCAAUAACACAGAUGCCACAGCCCUGCUGGGUCACAUCUCCAGGCUCUCAGUCCUUCAGAAUGGGGAUCUGGGUGAUCUGGCUUGUCUGGACGUCCACUACAAAUAGUGUGUUGCAUUUUGUUCCACACGCCACUUGCCUAUGAUUCAACCACUGCGAAGCAAACACUAUUAAGGGCCCCGAGUUGAAACUCUCUCUCCUUCAGAAGACUGGGAAGUUGCUGUGCUGCAUAACCAUGCAACAAUCGAGAACAGCUGGUUUCAUCCUGUAGCCUGACUUCCAGGUUCUUCAGGUAAUGCACUAAGGAUCUCUUCACUGGGGGAAGCCUUCUCCUUUUGUGAGGACCUAGGAAGAAGUGGAUUUUUGGGAGAGGCUGUGACACCAGGAAAGGGUUAUAACACGCCGGUGACGUGAUGAGCGGGCAAACCCCGGGAGACCCUUGCCAGGUGUGACUGAAUACGUGAAGAAAGUCGGGAGCAAAUGAAAGACCAGGCUUUGUGAAUUCAGUGAUACUUCCUGCACCAUAGACUCUGGAAUCUAAACCAGUUUCUCCCAUGUGGUUCAUGAAUUUCUGCAUAAAAGCUUUGAAAACAUUUCCCAAAAGUCCCCAGGAGCUUUCAUAACCACUAAUUGGCCUCUACUUUUUGGAAGUUUGGUGAUCUAGAAAGUUGGAAUGGAAACUGCCGUCCUGCUAUAAAACACCAAGGAUCCUGGGUAAAAUAGAACACUUUAAAAAUACUGUUGACCUUGCAAGACCUUGAAGAAAAUCCACAUGUUGCAAGAACAAAGAGGAAGGCAAAAUCCAGAGCAUGAAACCUACAAAUUCAGCCACAAACAGUAGCUGCCUUCAGGGAUACCAGGACCCUCCCCUGUGGGUUCUAACUCCCAAGCAAGGACCAGACCACUCAGAUACCUUGUGGACAUUUCGAAAAGGCACUCCACCCCAGUCCUUACCGGUUAAAAGGGGACUCUCAAGAAAGGGGGCCCUCCAUGCUUACUUGCCAGGGACUGUCCUCUCUGUGCUUGGAGUCUUUUCAUGACUAUUAAUAGCACUUGGUUCCCCUUCAGAAAUAUGUAGAUUAGAACGACAAAUUACAUUUCCCUCUGUUCAAAGGCUACUUAGUAAAAGGAUGGGCAAGGAAACAAAAAUAGCUUCCAGCAGCCACAGAGUCAAGGCAUGCCAUUUCCACUUUGUGUUGCACAGGGAUAAAAAAGAUUUUAAGUUAAUAAAAGCAUGCCCUCUAAAAGUUAAUAAAGAUGAGCCCUUCUUCCACAUGGGGUCAAAACACUGUAUGAGUAUCUGUCUGUAUAUAUUGUAUUUAAAAGCUGGAAAACUGAAGAGAGAAAAAUCACUCAUACUUUCUCAAUCCAAAUAAAAC